CCUACGGGCGGCAGCAGUGAGGAAUAUUGGUCAAUGGCCGUAAGGCUGAACCAGCCAAGUCGCGUGAAGGAAGAAGGUACUAUGGUUUGUAAACCUCUUUUAUAGGGGAAUAAAGGUAUCCACGUGUGGACAUUUGCGUGUACCCUAUGAAUAAGCAUCGGCUAACUCCGUGCCAGCAGCCGCGGUAAUACGGAGGAUGCGAGCGUUAUCCGGAUUUAUUGGGUUUAAAGGGUGCGUAGGUUGUUUUUUAAGUCAGCGGUGAAAGUGUGUGGCUCAACCCUAAAAUGGCCGUUGAAACUGGAAGACUUGAGUGUGAUUGAGGUAGGCGGAAUGCGUGGUGUAGCGGUGAAAUGCAUAGAUAUCACGCAGAACUCCGAUUGCGAAGGCAGCAUACUAAGCCAAAACUGACACUGAGGCACGAAAGCGUGGGGAGCGAACAGGAUUAGAUACCCCUGUAGUC
This 460-nucleotide ribosomal RNA is filed under the name uncultured bacterium. RNAcentral's name for it is "partial 16S ribosomal RNA". It matches the Rfam family "Bacterial small subunit ribosomal RNA", at positions 338 to 795 of the family's 1533-position model. The record is from RNAcentral.